RNAcentral lists this long non-coding RNA (311 nucleotides) under Elaeis guineensis (African oil palm). Its description in RNAcentral is "long non-coding RNA (EGUI_LNC081921)". Lineage: Eukaryota; Viridiplantae; Streptophyta; Magnoliopsida; Arecales; Arecaceae. The record is from RNAcentral.
UCUACACAUUCACAUUCUGGCUGUACAUAGUUAAGAUACCGACACAUGCAUUUAUCAAGGCAAAUUAUCCUUGUACAAUCAAUAUACAUUUAUCAACUAAGCAUUUGCAACAUAAGUUAAUCAUUUGUCAACAUACCAUUUGGAGCUAAUACUCAAAAUAUAUCAAUGUAACAAUGUUAUAUUAGACAAAUGAGGUAUAAAGAUACAAUGUUAUAUUACACAACAUAAUCUGUUGCAAUGUUAUAUUACACAACUGAGAGAUAAAGUUGCAAUACUAUAUUACACAAUAUGCUCUAAUAUCUCAUGCUUGA